AAGGAAGAGACUGUCUUUUUCUUUACAAUGCUUGAUACACAAGGAGGUUGAAUGUUCUUCAUUGAGGGGAAUUUUGCCUUGAUAUAUUCCACAAAUGCUUCCACUUCAUUAGGUUGUCCUUCUAAAGCAAGCUCAUUUACUUCAUUUUGGAUUAAUUGCAUUAACCAAGAAGAUGAAAUAAUUUCUGAACUUCUUGAGAGAUUGCUCCUUUCAGAUA
RNAcentral lists this long non-coding RNA (217 nucleotides) under Nicotiana benthamiana. Its description in RNAcentral is "long non-coding RNA (NBEN_LNC000525)". The record is from RNAcentral. Lineage: Eukaryota; Viridiplantae; Streptophyta; Magnoliopsida; Solanales; Solanaceae.